UGAUCCACAAGGCGACGGUGAAGACGGUGAACGUGGAGCGGUCCUCCGUGUCCGUGGAGUGGUUCGAGGGCGGCACCGUCAAGCAAGGAGAUUGAAAUUGAUGAUGUGAUAACAAUAAAUCCUGAGUUAUCAGAACUACCUGCUGCAGAUGCAAAAGAGAACCUUCCUUUGCAAGAGAAUGUAACUGUACAGAAACAGAAGCGUAGAACAACCCUUUCAAAAAUUCCUGCUCCACGGGAAGCUGUGUGUGGCCGUUCCAGGAUGUCUGUUAUCACAGAACCUCAGUGCAGCCUCCAGGAAAAUGAGAUGGGGGUGGAUCCCUGCACUUCUACACAAACUAGAAACAAUUCAUCGGUUCCUGCUGGCCAAACCAGGACUAGCAGGCUGAGCUGUGCUCCAGAAGCCUCACUGACAAAUGUAAAUGGAAAUACAGGGGAUCAUCUGCCUGCUGCUAGAAUGAGCUCUUCAGUGAGCCCAGUUCGGAGAAGAUCUAACAUUGUGAAAGAGAUGGAGAAAAUGAAAAACAAGAGAGAAGAAAAGAGAGCUCAAAUUAGUGAAAUCAGGACAAAGCGUGCACAGGAAUUUGACAGCAGCUGUCCAAACUGGGAGUUUGCACGGAUGAUCAAGGAAUUCAGAGCAACUUUAGACUGCCAGCCAAUAUCUAUAACUGACCCAAUAGAAGAACAUCGGAUUUGUGUCUGUGUGAGGAAGCGCCCUCUCAAUAAACAAGAACUUCUAAAAAAGGAAUGUGAUGUGAUUACUGUUCCGAGCAAGUGCGUCCUGCUGGUGCACGAGCCAAAGCAGAAAGUGGACCUAACAAAAUACCUUGAAACCCAAGCAUUUAGAUUUGACUUUUCAUUUGAUGAAUCCUCUUCUAAUGAAAUGGUAUACAGGUUCACUGCUAGACCUCUUGUAGAGACCAUCUUUGAGGGUGGGAAGGCGACAUGCUUUGCAUAUGGCCAGACAGGCAGUGGCAAGACACAUACUAUGGGCGGAGACUUCUCCGGGAGAGCACAGAAUGCCUCAAAGGGCAUAUAUGCUUUUGCAUCACAAGAUGUCUUCCUCCUUCUAAACCAGCCCAGGUACAGGAGUCAGGGCCUGGAAGUCUAUGUGACUUUCUUUGAAAUAUACAAUGGAAAGGUGUUUGACCUCUUGAAUAAGAAGGCAAAGCUUCGAGUCCUGGAGGACGGCAAGCAGCAGGUCCAGGUCGUUGGUCUCCAAGAGAGACAAGUCGGCUGUGCUGAGGAUGUCAUCAGAAUGAUUGAGAUGGGCAGUGCCUGCAGGACAUCUGGGCAGACUUUUGCAAACGCUAGCUCUUCACGGUCACAUGCCUGCUUCCAAAUUAUACUACGCCGAAGAGGGAAACUGCUUGGCAAAUUUUCUUUAGUGGAUCUGGCAGGAAAUGAGAGGGGUGCAGACACAUCUAGUGCUGAUCGGCAGACACGAAUGGAAGGUGCAGAAAUCAAUAAGAGCUUGCUGGCUUUGAAGGAAUGUAUCCGAGCUUUAGGGCAGAACAAAUCUCAUACCCCUUUCCGGGAGAGCAAGCUGACCCAGGUGCUAAGAGACUCUUUCAUAGGAACAAACUCAAGGACCUGUAUGAUAGCAAUGAUUUCUCCAGGCAUGAGUUCGUGUGAGUACACCUUAAACACACUGAGAUACGCUGACAGAGUGAAAGAGCUCAGCCCUCAUAAUGGAGGUGGUGAAACACAGAAUCAGAUGGAGACUGAGAAUGAGGAAACGGAGACCAGUGGAGAAGCUCUCCAAGGAUGAGGAGGAAGAUAUCUCUCCCCACAUGUUCAACUUUCGUGAGGCUAUGACUCAAAUUAGUGAACGGGAGGAGAAGGUUGUAGAACAGCUUAGAGAACUGAGACAGAGAAUGACAACUGAACUUGACUACCUCUUGGGAAUCACAGAGCAACCAGACUAUGAUCUCGAGACCUUUGUGAGCAGAGCUAAGCACUUUGUAGAGGAGAACUCAAGAAACUUCCUUAGUGUCAGAGAAACGUUGGAUGCCCUGGGGGCUGCCAUGCAACUGGAGGAGCAAGCCAGCAAGCAGAUGAGCCGGCAGAGGCCUUAGUAAAUACAGCAAAACCUGGUUCACAAGCAGUCUUCUGUAUGUCUUGCAUGUUUGUCAGUGGUUUGUGUAACUCCUAUUCUAAAUGUGGUGGAGUGUCUGCACGUUAUGUGUGCCUGAGGGCAGUGAACACGGCAGCCUCUCUCUCUUCACGGCCUGGUGUCAGGGCACUCAGCAGAGUGCUAGAAACACACCCCCUGCAAGGCUUGGGGAGGGGGGCCUGAGAGUCUGCUAGAUGUGUCUAGCAUCUGGCCCUUUGCUAGUGACAAUGGUCUCCUCUAAUAGAACUAGAAACACAUGUAUAGUUUUCUAGUGUAUGUAUAACCUUUCCAGAUGUGCUUGAAACACUGCAAAACUGCUGCAAGUCUGGCUUUUCUAGAAAGAAAAUGGACUAUAUGUAAUUGUAAAAACUCAGUAUUUUAAGAAGUUUGAUAAAUAAAUGUUCCUGGAUUUAAUUAUCUUCUAUCUUAUAAAAUAUAUUUCUUGCUGAUUUUGGUGAAGUCUAACAGCCCCUAAAGACUGGCUGGUGUUGUAGAGAGAGGCUGAUUUCUUGGAUGAAGUUUCUUUUUAAAGUCUUUACACUUGUAAUGUUUACCAAAAAAUCACUCAAAAUAAAUUGUCUCUUAAUU
This is an RNA transcript of Aptenodytes forsteri (emperor penguin), 2703 nucleotides long. It is a transcript of the gene named kinesin family member 2C, with no coding region annotated. The record is from RefSeq and is a predicted model, not a curated record. Lineage: Eukaryota; Metazoa; Chordata; Aves; Sphenisciformes; Spheniscidae. The transcript has 20 exons.